GUGAUAGAGAGGAUGGUCAACCAUAAGGUGGAUGGAGAGGAAGUGGCUAGAAAAAAUUAAGGGUGCCUCUGCAGACAGUUACAUCAUAAUCCUGUGAGUUGUUAGUGGCAUCUGGCACAGGUGGUCCUUUACUGUUGACCGUGAAUCCUAAAAGGCUGAAGCUAUCCACUACUUCAUUCUCUUCAUUAUCAAGAAGACAACAGGACUACAUGGAGGAGACUUCUGCUCUUUCAAGGACUGCUUGUGUGAGUGCAACUCUCUUUCCAUUCCCAGAAGGUGCUUCCCGCAAUGCAGUACCAAUGCUCAAAAUGCUUCAUGCAAGUAAUACCCAAUGAUGCAGAAAAAGGAGAUGACUGUGUGCAAAAUGGCCAAAAUACGGAGUGUAGGUUCCAUGUAGCCACUGCUUUCUUCAAGGACAUAGUGCACUGUGAUGAUUCUGUGAGAAGUACUUUCCAGGCUGCUUAACUUGGAGCUUUCAACAGUAUUCACCACAACAGCCUCCUUUUCUUCAGCCACUGCAGAUGUGGAGACCUGUUGGAGUAAUGUGAGCUAACAUAACUACCACUGCCUGUAACGAGAGCGUUCCAAGAUUUCUGACGUUACAGAGUGAAUAUGUAUUGUGAAGAGAGACGAGACUAUCUUUUACAACUGGAGAUGAGAGGAAUUAUCUUACAUCUCUAAUGAAAAUGAAUGUGGGGUACAUUCAGGACAGAUAAAAGGAAGUACCUUAUAGAAGAGUAGAAUGAAGUUGAUAGCAAAUGCGACAAACAAAGCCAGCAUCCGCAUGUUGUAGAAAUUCCGAGCAAAAUAGUUCUGAAAAACAAAAUAGUGCAUGCCAAACAACAUUACUAUAUCUUGAUAAUUUAAGUUCAGUUAAUCUACAGAAUACUAUCCUGAAUGAAUCAAGUUAUGAAUCAGGUAAAACAUGCCCAAAUUUUGGAUGACUGUGUAAACCAUGUUGUGCAUUCCCUAAGGCUUUUAGUAGCGGCAAGUGUAACAUGUACACAUCAAAAGCACUUAGACUUGGGGUCAUACAAACUACACAUUACAUGAACAUAGAGAAUUGGAAGGCGGAAGGGAUGCUUAGCCCGUCGCAAUUAGAAAUCACAUUUGUGUGUUUGCCAAAUACACAUGUAAGAUCCUAAGGGUGCGGGGGUGGGUGGGGAGGAAGCUGUAUACUUGGAGUGGGAAAAUAGCAAGCAGAAAAAGAAGUGUCUGCUUCUUCUCUGCUCCCAAUAGUGUCCUCUCAAAGUAAUGUUUUGGGAUGAGACAAAGCACAGGAGUUUGUUGUUGGAGUGUACACACACACACAUCACACACACACACUUUAUCACCUCUUGAAAUGUCUGCUGGAAGGGAGCAAGAGAGGCACCAGCCAGCAUAAAACUGCCAGCUGGGGCUGCACAACACUCUCCGAGACACCAGCAGGGGAAAGAGGGGUGGUGACUCCACACUGGGCUUCUGACUUGGGAGAGCUGAACUGGUAGCUGGGGCAGGACUCACAAGGGGGAAAGGGGCAGAGGUGGCUGUCAUGAAAGUAAAGGUGAGGCAGAGCCAGCAAGGUGAUGCGGGGGGAGGUUUAGACCUCACUUGGCCUCAUGGACAAGUCGCUCCAUGAGAAAGAGACUCUAGCCUAUGGAGACAUAUGCCACAAAACAUUAUUUGGUCUUCAACAUGUCACAUGACUCCUACUUUUUGAAAAACCUGUUUGGGCUUCACUUUUCUAAUAAAA
Long non-coding RNA from Hemicordylus capensis (graceful crag lizard), 1732 nucleotides. RefSeq lists it as uncharacterized. NCBI's taxonomy places the organism in Eukaryota, Metazoa, Chordata, Lepidosauria, Squamata, Cordylidae. The transcript has 6 exons. The record is from RefSeq and is a predicted model, not a curated record.